RNAcentral lists this ribosomal RNA (301 nucleotides) under uncultured bacterium. Its description in RNAcentral is "partial 16S ribosomal RNA". It matches the Rfam family "Bacterial small subunit ribosomal RNA", at positions 509 to 807 of the family's 1533-position model. The record is from RNAcentral.
CAGCAGCCACGGGAAUACGUAGGGUGCAAGCGUUAAUCGGAAUUACUGGGCGUAAAGCGUGCCCAGGCGGUUUUGUAAGACAGAGGUGAAAUCCCCGGGCUCAACCUGGGAACUGCCUUUGUGACUGCAAGGCUGGAGUGCGGCAGAGGGGGAUGGAAUUCCGCGUGUAGCAGUGAAAUGCGUAGAUAUGCGGAGGAACACCGAUGGCGAAGGCAAUCCCCUGGGCCUGCACUGACGCUCAUGCACGAAAGCGUGGGGAGCAAACAGGAUUAGAUACCCGCGUAGUCCCUGUCUCUUAUAC